This 253-nucleotide ribosomal RNA is filed under the name uncultured bacterium. Its description in RNAcentral is "partial 16S ribosomal RNA". It matches the Rfam family "Bacterial small subunit ribosomal RNA", at positions 524 to 776 of the family's 1533-position model. The record is from RNAcentral.
UACGUAGGGUGCGAGCGUUAAUCGGAAUUACUGGGCGUAAAGUGUGCGCAGGUGGCUUCGCAAGUCGAGUGUGAAAGCCCCGGGCUUAACCUGGGAAUUGCGCUCGAAACUACGGAGCUGGAGUAUGGCAGAGGGAGGUGGAAUUCCACGUGUAGCGGUGAAAUGCGUAGAGAUGUGGAGGAACACCAAUGGCGAAGGCAGCCUCCUGGGCCGUUCCUGACGCUGAGGCGCGAAAGCUGGGGGAGCGAACGGG